CAUGAUGUUGCCGCCCGGACCCGGCGCCCAGGAGAAGCCGCCGUUAUUGCAGAUGUACAUCUUGCCGUCAGGACCCAGCGCCGCGCCGUUCGGCCCGCCGGGAAUUUUCGCAAUGAUCUCCUUGCGUCCGUCGGGAUAAACCCGCGUCAGGGUCUGGCGGCGGAUUUCCACCAGCACCACCGAGCCAUCGGGCAUCACCACCGGCCCUUCUGGAAAUUCGAGACCGGUUGCGAUGACGCGGACGUUGGACA
Molecule: unclassified non-coding RNA, 251 nt
Filed under: Hevea brasiliensis (rubber tree)
Lineage: Eukaryota; Viridiplantae; Streptophyta; Magnoliopsida; Malpighiales; Euphorbiaceae
Source: RNAcentral